ACGUGGGGACACACAGCCAAACCAUAUCAGGGAGAACUCCAAGAUGAAAUGCAGAUUGCUCAAAAAGUAGGCAAGAUGAUCUCCUGGGGCACAGAAAGAACUUUUAGAACUUCUAUUUACAUUCACAUUUCAUCUCAUGCUUUUUAAAUUUAUAUUUUUGAGCAUGUUUUAUAAUGUACAUAAUUUAUUAGUUUGAUAAAAACAUCUAAUGUUUUAUAAAUAAAAAUAAACAUUUCAGUA
Molecule: long non-coding RNA, 240 nt
Organism: Homo sapiens (human)
Lineage: Eukaryota; Metazoa; Chordata; Mammalia; Primates; Hominidae
Exons: 2
Source: RefSeq, a predicted model, not a curated record